RNAcentral lists this ribosomal RNA (401 nucleotides) under uncultured bacterium. RNAcentral's name for it is "bacterial SSU rRNA". It matches the Rfam family "Bacterial small subunit ribosomal RNA", at positions 61 to 506 of the family's 1533-position model. The record is from RNAcentral.
GUCUAGGGGGUGUAGCAAUACAUCACCGGCGGACGGGUGCGUAACGCGUGGGAAUGUACCUAUUGGUUCGGAACAACUGAGGGAAACUUCAGCUAAUACCGAAUGUGCCCUAACGGGGAAAGAUUUAUCGCCAAUGGAUCAGCCCGCGUUCGAUUAGCUAGUUGGUGGGGUAACGGCCCACCAAGGCGACGAUCGAUAGCUGUUCUGAGAGGAAGAUCAGCCACACUGGGACUGAGACACGGCCCAGACUCCUACGGGAGGCAGCAGUUGGGAAUCUUGGACAAUGGGGGAAACCCUGAUCCAGCCAUGCCGCGUGAGUGAUGAAGGCCUUCGGGUUGUAAAACUCUUUCGCGCACGACGAUAAUGACGGUAGUGCGAGAAGAAGCUCCGGCUAACUUCGU